GGGCUGGGGCUCAGUGGCAGAGUGCUAGCUUAGCAUGCGUGAGGCCCUGGGUUCAAUUCUCAGCACCACA
This 70-nucleotide transfer RNA is filed under the name Marmota monax (woodchuck). RNAcentral describes it as "tRNA.Ala". Lineage: Eukaryota; Metazoa; Chordata; Mammalia; Rodentia; Sciuridae. The record is from RNAcentral.